Molecule: long non-coding RNA, 28639 nt
Filed under: Olea europaea subsp. europaea
Lineage: Eukaryota; Viridiplantae; Streptophyta; Magnoliopsida; Lamiales; Oleaceae
Source: RNAcentral
GUUCCCCUCAUAUUAAAAUUUACUUUUAUGUUGAUUAUAAUAACUGUAUCAAUACUUCACUUGAAACAGAAUUCAUGUUUUUUUUUAUAGGUAAUCAGAGAAUUUUAUUCCUUAAAAGAGAGAACACGGGAGGUAUACAAUCACUUUAAGCAUGAAGGGAACAACAAGAAAUUAGGCAACCCUACAACAAGAUUUUUAGUCACUGCAUUAAACUAAGUAUACAAAGUCAAGUAAAAUAAUUCUCUUAUCUGCUCUGUUGUCUUUGUUUAGUCUUCGAAACAUCGAUCGUUCCGUUCUCUCCAUAUGCACUAUACAAUGCAUCCCGAGAUAAGAUUCCAGAGAAGUUUGCUAUCCUUAUCUCGAAGUUUUCUUCUCGAUGCCCGCACCAAGUCUUCUAUACGCUUAGGUAGUACCCAAUCCAUUGAUUGAGAAGUCAGAAUACUGUUCCAAAGCCAACGUACACCAUCACAAUGAAUGAAUAAAUGAUCAAUCAUCUCUCCAUCCUUCUUGCACAUAUUGCACCACUCGGUUACAUAAAAUCCUUUUCGUCGAAGAUUAUCCACCGUUGACACCUACCCCCUCAUAACUGUCCACAAUAGAAAUGCUACCUGUGGAGGCAAUUUACUUUGCCACACCAUCUUCCAAGGUAAUGAACUCUCCACAAAUCCCAAAAGGGAUUGAAAGUAUGAGCGGACUGAAAAAAUACUAUCUCGAGCCAACCUCCACCUGCUACAAUUACCCUCUCCUACCCGAAUUUGUAUCUCAUGCAGAGCGGUCAAAAACAACGAAUAAUCUUCCAAUUCCCAAUCCAGUAAGCCCCUCCCAAAAGUAAUAUUCCAACUAUAACCCCCAUUAUGGAUGUUAAGUACAUCACCCACCAUAGCAGCAAGCUCUAAUGCAAUGCGGUACAAUGAGGGAAAUCCCUCCUUUAACGGUUGAUUGCCACACCAACUAUUAUCCCAAAAUCUAAUAUCAGUGCCAUUUCCCACCACAAAAUUUAGUUUGUAAAAUCACUCCAUCCCCGUCGGAUAUACCUCCACAAACUCACCCCAUAGGAGCCACGACCCUCAACUGUACACCAACCCCCCUCCAUCACACCAUACUUUGCUCUAAUGAUUUCUCUCCAAAAGCUCUCCCUCUCCAAUCCAAAUCGUCACAACCACUUGCCCAAUAAAGCUUUAUUAAACAAAACAAGGCUCCUCACUCCAAGCCCCCCAUCCUCAUAGGCAAACAAAUAGUACCACAAUUAACCAAAUGCAUUUUCCUCUCCUCCCCUAACCCUACCCACAAGAAUUCUCUUUGAAAUCUCUCUAAUCUGUUUGCCACUACAACCGGAAUAGGAAAUAAUGACAAAAAGUAAGUGGGGAGAUUUGAGAGAGUGGAUUUAAUUAAAGUAAGUCGGCCUCCCUUAGAAAGAUACAUACGCUUCCACCCUGCUAACCUCCUCUCCAUUCUUUCCAUAAUACCAUUCCAGAUAUGUGUACUUUUAAACCGUGCCCCUAGCGGGAGGCCUAAAUAUAACAUAGGCAAUUGUGCAAUCCUACAUCCCAAUAUGCCAGCCAACUCCUCCACGUUAGUGACCUCCCCAACUGGAAUAACCUCAGAUUUCCCCAAAUUGAAUUUUAGAAACAGAAUUCAUGUUGUUUUGCAUUGUAAACAUUUCCGGCAUAUUCCACUUAAUGUCAUGGCUACUAGCUACAGCUACUGCUGAAUUCUAUUUGAAAGAUCAACCUGUCUUUCAGAAGAUUAACCUGGAAAAAUUACUUAUUAAUCAAUAAUCUCAAAGAUCUUCUGAGUUUCACAUGCUCAGUUAACACUUGGAAGCAGUCGCCCGAAACACCUAAAUAAUUAGGAGGGAUUUUCUUUAGUUCCUGACAACAUUCUUUAGCUUUCAAAUUUUGCAAAGAAACAUUAUAGUGAAGUGGAGAAACAGCCUAUCUCAUCCUUCUUCUAUUGGACCUUUUUUUUUUAAGUUGGAAAUUAGAGUAGAAUGAGUUCAUUGUGGAGUUCCUUUUUUGUGAAUAUUAUUGUUGUGCUAUAUCAUAUGCUUUUGAGAUUGUAACCAGCUAGAUGAAUUUAUCUUUUACAACCUAAAUUGUAAAGGCAAACCUGAGAUUCUGUAUUUUCUGAACAAUAAAAUAAAUAAUAUUAUUGUAAUGUCCUGUCGAUGUGUAUAUAUAAUUUCCCCAAUUUUUUAAGAGAGAAGUAAUUUAAAAAACAUGACUUAUAUUCAUGUUUGGGUGAAUAUGAUCACUUUUUACUAUAACCUUCCUAUUAUUUUUUCUUCGUAUAGAUUCCUGAAAUAGAAGAAUUUUGAGAUAGAGUUGAGUUCCCCCCUUUACAUUUGAGUGGUGAAUUCUAUGCCACGACUUCUUUCUUGUUUCAGUAAUUUGAAUUCUCCUCUUUUAAGUAUGAAGAUUCACUAAUCAAAUUUAUGUUUGUGUUGAAAGGAAAAGGAAAAGUCCUAUAAAAAAAAAAAGGAAAACGAAAAGUAACUCAACUUAUUGGUAUUUUGGUGCGAAAGUGGAAUUAAAGUUCGUGAAACAAUAAUAAAGUUGAACUAACUCGAAAAUUUGUAAAGAGUGAUUUUAUUGUAAUGGGUUGGUGAUUGAAAAUUUUUCAACGGCUUUCUUUAUAUAGGCAAAAUAAUGUUAAGGAAGAUAAGUAAUUAAAACCUAAAAGAAUAAUAAGUCCUAAUUUAAACAAGAAAAUAAAAUUUUAUUACAAGAAAUAUUUCUUGUCCUAGUUGUCAUAAAAAUUUCCUAAAUCAAUCUUUCUUACUUGGAAAAAACUCGUCCUCGAGUUUCUUUGAAGAAAAGAAACUUCAUUGGAAAAAUAUUCGAAAUUUCUGGAUCACGUUGUGAGGAUUCAAACUUAACUUGGACUCAUAUAUUGCACUCAUUGAAGUGACAAAUUUCCAUGGCUGUCAAAAUAUGCAAUUUUGAUCUUCUUACCUAUUCAGCCUACAUUCCAGAUUUUUAGAUCGAGAUUGGUAAUUUUUGCAAUUUUCCGAUCGUUGCGAGUAUGCAUGCCACUAUCACGUAUAUGUCAAUCAAUCAAGGGCUAAAUCUUGAUUUGAUACCAAUUUUGGUGUAGAAACGAAAUUGAAGUUCUUGGAAUAAGAAUAAAAUUGAACCACCUCGAAAAGACGUGGAGAAUAAUUUUCUUGUAAUGAAUUGGUUACUGAAAAAAUCAUAAAGCCUUUUGUUUAUAUAUGCCAAAAUAAUCUUCUAAUCCUAAUAGCUUAAGGGGGUUAAAUAAUUAAAACAAAAAAGAAAAAAAAAUAGAAACCUAAAAGAAUUAAAAGCCCUAAUCUAAACAAGAAAUAAUUCCUCGUCCUUUUUGUGAUAAAAUUGUCCUACAUCAUAUUCACGGAUGAGAGCUGCUUCCAAAAAAAAAAAGAAAAAAAAAAGGACAAUGAUUAUGUUACGUCGUUGAUUAACAUACCAUAUACCAUAAAUUCUUUGGGGAACAUAAUAUUUUUGUCUGCUGCAUGGAGAAUUUAUUUAUUUUAUUUAUUUUUUGGUUCUACACUUGCACAUUAACCUAUGGUGCACUGUUCCUAUUUUUAAAUCUCAGAUCUCUAUAUCUUCCAUUAGUAGAAUAAUUUCCAGACAUGUCUUGUCUGCCUCACUGCUGAAAAUAUUACUUAUCUCAUAAUGUAGACGAUGGCUUCUUCCUUGCAGCUAAAAUUUUGUUUUUCUGGUUGAUCAUAAAUUUUAUCUAUUCUCUUCCCUUGAGUACCAGGUUAAUCUUGGUUCCACCGUGGAUACACCGGCCCUGGUGCCUCUCGAUGCAGAUGUUUCUGCUUCGAUCCACAAUGGAUUUGGGUCGAAUGACCCUAGGAGAGGGGAAAGUGAAAUAAAAGGUGUUGAACUUAGCCCAGAACAUUUAGCUCCAGGGGCUAACACACCAACAGAGAUCUCUCUUUUUCAGACGCUGAUUGCAGCUUUAAUUCCUGAAGAAGGAAAUCAAGAGCUUUGCAGCAGUGGAAAUGAAGACUGCAGAUUUGAUGUGUAUGGAUCUCGUUUUGAAAUGGAAAAAGAUAUGGAUUCACAUACUUUCUGCUCGCUGAGGUCUCAAAAUCGUGAUAUUUCCAGAUAUUCUGCUUCUAAUGGUUACAGGAUAAACGCUAAUGGAGAAAUCUUCUAUGAACUGGACCCCACGUUUCCAGAUCAUGAUGGCAGUUCUAUUCCAGACACUGGAAUUAUUCCAGUCUGCAAUCAUUUGCAAAAUGGUUUACUUUCAGACCAGAUUACACCUGGCGUAGAAUGUUCUGAAUAUCAGUAUAGUAAUAUGUCAAUAAAUGAAAGACUUCUCGUGGAGAUUCAUAGUAUUGGACUUUACCCAGAUUUAGUGGUAUGUUUGUUUUUCCUUCAAUAUGCAGAUAAUCUUGUAUAAUACGUUAUAUUUUCACAGCCUUUCCCUGAUUUCUCUGCAUUCCUGUGAUUGCCAUGCCCUUUUGAUCAGCCUGAUUUGUGUCAGAAUGGAGAAGAAGAAAUCAGUGGAGAUCUUAGUAGAUUAGAUGAGAAGUAUCAAGAAGAGGUAAGAUCAGAUGUUUACCUCUCCUCUUCCUAUUUCUCUACUGCUCUGUCAAUUCAAAGAAAUAAGAGAGAGAGAAGGAAAAGAAAAGAACCCUAAAGGAAAAAGAAAAGAAAACGAGGGUCUGUACACUUAUUACGCAAGGAUUUUGGAAGUUUCAUAUCCUGCUUAGAUCAUCAAUCAUGAUGCUCAGAAUCCUUUUUCAUUUAUGGAGUUGAAUACCAAUGGAGCAUGCAACUAUUAGUUUUCCACUCUCUCGGUGGUUUACCCUGUAACCUUGAUGUCGAUGAGAUGUACUUUUUGUGUGAAGUUUCUUAAAAUCACAAUUUUCUACUCAACUAUUCUCUUUUUGUUCUUCUGGUUAAUGUUGAAUCUGAACAUGUUUAGUUCUGGAAUUUAAUUCAAACCUCUGAUUUUGCAUAUGUUAGAUACUUCUUUUUAUAUAGUGAAGCUUCUAGAUUUCAGUGAAGUGUAUUAUUCAUGUCAGGAGCCUUUCUCAUAUUUUAGUUGAUGAAUAGGUUUCAAGGAAGAAAAGUUUGCUUGGCAAACUGCUAAAUUCAGCUUCUGAGGCUAAAGAGCUUCAAGAAAAGUAAGGAGUUUGUUCUUUAUUUUCAGACGUGGUUUAUUUGUGAUUUUUACUUGACUAUGAGUGCUUUUUGUCAAUAACCCAAACACUUUAUUCUAUCACAGCCUGUUCGAACAGUGUGCUUUAGAGAAACUUGUAGGAUUGGCUUACGAAAAGUACCGGGUAUUUUUUCUAUUCUAUAUCCUUUCUUUAUUUAAUUGAUUUUAAAUGCGCAUUUCCCUUUUAAAAGUAUGUAAAUAUAAUUUGUCUGCGUCAUGGAUUGACACAUCAAAUUUAUUUGUGAAUAUUACAUGUAUAUCCAUCAAGUUUGUUUGUUACAGGGAAUAUGAUUUCGUCCAUGUCAAUAUAUUCUUCCACCUUAAAAUUUAUGACAAUCCUAGUCAAUCAUUUUUUCCUUUUUUACCCUACCUUUUUUAUCAACUGGAAAAAUUAGUACAAGAGGCAGGGUGACAUACCAGCCUUACCUCCGAAGGUCGAGGAAGAAAAAGAAGGAUUAGCAAAAGCUGAAAUUGAAAGUACUACUCUUGUUAUAGUGAGCCAUUACAAAAUUUAAAUUUGGGAGUACUACACUCAUUACAACAAUAGAGACAGAGGAAUGCAGUAACUCAAUUGACCCAAGAAAACUCAAGAAAAUAAUAUAACUAAGUCUGCAAGCAGGCACUAAAGACAACCAAAUACACAAGCAAAUUACACAUAGCAUGAGUAUGCAGUCACAUGUGCAGUAAAUUAAAUAAAAUAAAGUAAUGCAAUGAUGGAUCCUACAGUAGGCUGGAAAGCAAAUAUGCAAUAACCUAUGGCCUAAUAUGCAGCAGUCACACUACAUGGAAAUGAAUAAAUCCUACUGCUUUCUCUUCCAUUGUCCACUUGAGACUCAUUCUCAAAUAUAGAAAGCAAACUUUGGUAUGGAUUUAUUAUCAGAUCUGGGAGAGAUUCAUCACCGAAGUUUUGGUAAGCAUUGGAAAAGCAUCCCAGCAGGUUAUUGAAGAAGUAGACCAAUCUCAAUCAUCUACUUUGCAUUAGAAAACAAGGCUGUUUAGUCAGUUUCUUUGGGGCCUGCAGAUAGGGAUUCUCGUUCUGUCUGUAUGUAAGAUGCCAAUAAUCGUCCCCAUUAAGUCUUUAGCAUAUAAUAUUCUGCUCUAUUUAGUUUUGUUAUCUUUAUUUUUUAUUAGUCAGUCUUAGAAUCUUGUUCAGUCUUAAAAUCAUGUGACCAUUAUUAUUGAAUCUAAUGCUGUUUUAGUUGUUGAAUCUGCCGGACAUUUUGUAUGUCAAUCCUGAAGAUAUAGUUACUAACACACUAGGAAAUUCCAUAUCUUAAUAGAACGGAGAUUUUGGUAAGAUUAUUGAUGUUUGCUAUGGGAAUGCUUUAUGUACAAUUGUAAACAUAAUCAAAUAUCCCUACCCACCUAAACAAGAAAAACAAAAGAAAAGAUUAAGAAGAUCAGAGACAAAAACAUAUUAAGCCCUUGUUUGAGCCCCAUUUUGGAGGAGAAAAUGAAUUUUUGAAUAGUGUAUUGAUGGGAAAUGUAUGGCUAAAAAAUAAGAAAAAUUUUUGAUUUGCGUAUAAUAUUAUUUUAUUGAAAAAUGUGUGAUUGAAAUGGUGUCAAAUUACUGUUGAAGAAUGUAUUUUGUUGAAAAAAUGGGGCUCAAACAAGGGCUAAAUAUGAAAAAGAAGAAAAACGAACAAAGACUGGAGAUUGCUUCCUUCUCGAAAGUCUAGUUUCCUUAUAUUCACCUAUGGAUUGAAGGAACGAAAAAAAUAAUAUGACUUCUAGAAUCUAGAUCAUCUUUGGGUUGGCUUAAAAAGUUACUUAAGUUUAAUAAAUGAAUAAAUUUAAAUAAUAGUCAAUGUUGGAAAUGAUUAGUUAUUUUGAUAGUAAGGUCAGAAUUACUUUCAAAUGUGUUACCAAAAGUUAUUCGUCAUCCCUCCCAAUGGAGAUCCCUUUCGUCAAAUCCAAAACCACCCACCCAACACCUAAUCACCCAACCACCGCCUAACCACUAGUCGGUGCCGACGACAACUACGACGACGGCCAUAAGGCCCCAUUUGACAAACCCCAAAUCAUCGGCAGCCACAACUUGACCCACACAUAGGCGGUGCCCUAGGUGGAAACCUUAGCAUCACCAUCGAAAUGCUAUAAGUAGAGGCAUGCUUUUUUGGGUUGACAUGGAGGUCCUAGGCGUCGGCAAACAAGGCGGAAGGGGGGAGUCGAGUUACAUUAGGCACCAUCUGGGAUCCCAUCCCAGUUUACGCAAGAUGUGGCCGUCCUCCUGAUAGACGUGCCUGACCGGCGGACUUUGCAACCAUUCUGACGUCGAAGGGUCUGUGGCGAGGAGCACGCUCCGCUUCGACAGCUCGUCCGUCGACGUGUGAAGCCCACAUGUCUUCGCUGGAGAGUCUGAAAAAUCCUCUCAUCGAUUUUGGUUCAUCCUGCCAGCCUGUUCUAUCGUUAGAUACGUCAUUUAUACACAAUCAGGGGAAAAAGUUUGCUGAUGCAUACAGUAUGAUGGUUUUCAAUUGUCGUUUUAGAAUUGAGGGGAAGGAGUUUGCAGUGAUUGUUAAUGAUUUCAUAACUGUUAUGAGGACAUAAUAGAGUUCGAAGAUAUUGAAUGCAAUCUACAUGGAGAGGUUUGGUGCACUCUGGAUGGUGAAUAUGGUGGAUAAGUUGAGGGUGGCUAGUAAGUUGAAGGAUUUUGUCACUAAGUUCAAUGAGUCUUCAAGAGCUUUUUUGGCACAACGUUGUGAGAACAGUCGUCCUAGGUACUUGAUGGUACAUUGUAUGUGAAGGGGCAUCAGAAAGGAGUUGUGAUGGUGCCGAAAGACUUGAAUGGAGAGGGAUCGGCAUCAAUUUUGCUGGUGUUUUAGGUAGUUGUCAAUUCAUUCGUCACUAGAGACGAGACCAAAUGUCGAAUGGUGCCCGAAAGUAAUCAACAAGGAAUGACUUAAUGCCGGAGUUACGACGAACUUACAGGCUCCGCAGAAUGUUGAUCAAUGGGUGCUAAUGCGAAAGGAAAUGGUGAUUAAUGGGAGUGAAAAUGAAGGUUAAUUUAUGUUGCCUAAGGUUAUGGAAGCAAAUGCAGAAGGUGCACAUGGUAUUUUUUUGAAUAGCGCUGAAAUAAAGGCCCGUGUCUAGGCAUUAAACGGGGAGUUGCUGGAAUCAAUCAGGCUAUUGGGAAGUGGGUUUGAAGCGGGCUCCUAGAUAAUUUGUCACAAGUGUGGGGUGGGCAUGGAUGAGCCUUCGACGAUGGGAAAAAAGUAGCGAGUUUGGCUCCUAAGGAGUUAAACCGAAGGUGGUCCAUACGAAAGAAAAACAGGUGAUGAUUAAGUCCAUUUACGAUUCUCAGGCAUGGAUUGUAGCGGUGUACUCUAGUAAUGACGAUAGGGUCGGUUUAGUGGGGUUGUAUAGGGAUGUUAAAGACUCAGGGAUCAAAGCAAAUCGGGAGGUGGUAACUUGGUCCGAGGAAGGGGAGCCGAGUAUGGCGAAUAAGGAUUCAGUGACAAUGGGUGCGAUGGACACGAUUUCGUUAGUAGAGGGAGUUUUGUCAAUUGAGCAAGCGACGGGGUAUGUAUUGGUAGAGAAUUCAGUUUCAGCAAUUGUGAAAGAGCACGAGGCGACAAGCCCGACAACUAUGAUUGUGAACACAUACAAUUGGAGGUACUCUAAGUGCCUCAAAGGAAGGGACUUAGAAAAUGAAAAAGCUCUAGUGGUGUAGGUAGAUGGAGUCAAGAAAGGAGAAAUAGACAGUGAUGCAGGACAGGUGGAGGAAGUGAAGGGACAUAUCUAUGAUCGUUUGGAGUGUUGUCACGCAAAAAAUAUAGAAUCCACUCAUGGAGGGAGAAGUCCUUGCCGUAUCAGGUACUAAUCUAUUUUGAAGUUAGACCCCCCCACCUUGGAAUUAGGUUCUUCAAAAAAUUCAGGACUUCAGUAAGAUGGUUGGUGUGUCUUGUGAUGGAUAUGAAAGUAGACUCUUGUAAUUAUUUGAGGAACUGGAGGCUAGUAGGGGCAGGGAAUGAGUACACAAGGAGUUAAAUCAAGAAGAAGGGGUGAUUUUAACUUAAGUAACUCGAAUGGUCAGUAAACCAUGGCGUUAAGGGUAGUGACUCAAAGAAAGGAAUGUUAAGGAGGAUGAUGGAGUGCUAAAAUGAUCCUAAAAAUUAUUAACUGGAAUGUGAGAGGGCUUAAUGAAUAGGUGUUCGAAUCCUGUUAAGGGGAUGGAGAGCGGAUCUUGUCUGCCCACAAGAAACUAAGUCGGAGUUCCUCUCGAGGGCCGUGGUUAGUAACUUAUAGGGGACAUGAUGUAGGGUAUCAAUUUUUGGGGUCAUCAAGGGCUUUAGGAGGCAUGCUAAUCAUGUAGGACAUUAGAGUUUUCGAUAUGGAGGAGGUUAGUGUGGGGUUAUUCUUUGUAUCGCACUCAUUUAGAAAUAUUGGGGAUAGAUUCAAAUGGAUGUUUAUAGGAGUUUAUGGGCCUAACUAUGAUGAGAGUAGAGGGGGUUUGUGGGAUGAAUUGGCUGGUAUGAUAGCUUAGUGGAAUCUCCCAAUGUGUAUUGGGGGUGAUUUUAACAUGAUACGAUUUCCUUUUGACGAAUCUAACGACGGGAGACUAACGGGGGCUAUGAAGGACUUUUCAGAUUUUAUUUGGGAGAAUAUGUUGGUGGAUAUGCCAAUGAUUGGAGGAGAUUUUACUUGGUCAUCUAAUCGAGACCAUUAUGUUCUAUCUUAUAUAGAUCGAUUCUUGAUUAGUGGAGAGUGGGAGGCUAAGUACUCAGUUGUCGCGCAAAGGAGAUUAGGGAGAGUGUAUUCCGAUCAUUUCCUAUUCUUUUAUCUUGGAAUACAAGGGAUAGUGGAAGAAUGUCUUUUAGGUUUAAGAAGAUGUAGUUAAAAGUAAAAGGCUUUAGGGAGUGAGUAUGGACUUGGUGGGCUUCAUAUGAUGUCAAGGGAUCUCCCAGUUAUGCGUUAGAUUAGAAGUUGAAGGCUUUGAACGGGGAUUUAAAGAGGUGGAACGAGGAGGUGGUGAGCAAUGUAAACUGUUGUAAAAAUUAAAUGUCUUUCAGACAUGGAAGAGUUGUUUAGGCGGGAGGAGAGUCAAGGUUGGUUAGGGAAGAGGAGAGACGUGGAGUAUUAAGGGGAGAGUUGGAGAGGUUGGUGGAGAUAGAGGACAUUUCUUGGGGUCGCAUGGUUGAAAGAGGGGGACAAAUGCACCAAGUUUUUCCAUAGGGUCGCUUAUUCUAACGGGCGCAACAAUUCUAUCACAUUGUUGGAGGUAGAUGGGGUUACUUAUUAGGAUCCAAAGUAUAUCGGGACCCAAAUGGUGAGAUUUUAUCAGAAUCUUUAUUGAGAGCUGUUUGAGUGGAAGCCAGAGUUAGAGGGAUUGAAUUUUUCUACCAUCACGGAGGAGGAUGGUGGUUGGUUAAAGAGACCACUUGGGGAUGAUGAAAUUAAGGAGGUGGUAUUUAGUAUGAAUGAUGAUAAGGUAUCAGGAUCGGACGGUUUCUCGUUCUCAUUUUAUAAGGCGUGCUGGGAAGUGGUGCGACCAGACAUUAUGGAUGUUCUCACUUAUUUUUUUGAGUGUGGUAGGUUUUUGAAAAGUUUUAAUGUGACAUUUAUUGUGCUGAUUCCCAAGAAAUCAGGAGCAACUGAUAUUAAGGAUUUUUGCCCUAUUAGUUUAGUCAGUGAGUGUACAAGAUUAUUGCGAAAGUUCUGGCAAAUAGAUUAAAAGAAGUGCUAAGGAAAGUUGUCUAAGUUUCAGAAUGCUUUUGUGAAAGGGCACGAGAUUUUAGAUUCUGUACUUUUAUAGCGAAUGAAUGCAUUGACUCAAAUUGCUCUUGGGAGUUCUAGUGAUGCUAUGUAAGCUCGAUAUUUAGAAGGCUUAUGAUCACGUGAACUUGGGGUUCCUUUUGUACUUGCUUAGGUGAUGUGGCUUUGGGAUAAGUGGUGUAAGUGUUAUCAAUUUUAUAUCUCUACUAUAUUUUCAGUUUUGGUCAACGGUACUCUUGAAGGUUAUUUUAGGAGCAACAGGGGCUUAAGGAAAGGGGAUCCUUUGUUUCCAUUACUGUUUGUUAUUGUAAUGGAAGCUUUCAGUAGAAAGCAGGAGAAAGCUUUGAUGGAGGUUUGUUUGGGAAAGGUGAGCGAUGGCCCGAUCCUUUAAUGCAUCCUGCUGCUCCGCGGAGAAUUCCCCUCGCGGAUGGGGGAUCGAGGCUCGCUGUACGAUGCUAUCGAGUUCCCCCCUUAAGGGGCUUUACGGUUGGUCACGUGCAGGUGUCCCAUUUGUCAUUUACAGAUGAUACACUGAUCUUAUGGGAUGUAGAUGAUAAGUAAUUUAGGAACUUGCGCUGUUUGCUUCUAUGCUUUGAAGCGGUGUUUGGAUUGAAGAUAAAUCUGGCGAAAUUUGAGACUAUACCAGCAGAAGAGGUUGCUAAUGUAAAGGAGUUGGUUGAUAUAUUGGGUUGUAGGGUUGUGCAGUUGUCUAUGUCAUAUCUAGGGCUCUCUUUAGGGGUACGAUGUAAAAGUUUACAUAUUUGGAAUUGUAUUGUAGAAAGGGUGGAGAGGAGGUUAGCGGGGUGGAAACGUAUGUACCUAUCAAAGGGAGGUCGGUGUACUCUCAUUAAAUCUACUCUCUCUAAUCUUCCGUCUUAUUUUUUAUCAUUGUUUCCUAUUCCUAUUGUAGUAGCAAAUAGAUUAGAGAGGAUUUGAAGGGAAUUUCUUUGGGGAGGGUUGGGGGAGGAGAGGAAAGUUUAUUUGGUUAAUUAGGAUGAUGUUUGCUCUCCUAUGACGAUGGGGGUCUUGGAUUUAGGAGCCUUGUUUUGUUUAAUAAGGCUUUAUUGGGCAAGUGGUUGUGGCGAUUUGGAAUGGAAAUGGAGUGUUUUUGGAGAGAAAUCAUAGGGGCGAAGUAUGGUGUGACGGAGGGGGGUUGGUACUCGGUUAAGGUUCGUGGUUCUUAUGGGGUGAGUUUGUUGAGGUAUACUUGACGAUGGAGUGACCUCCAGGAUAGAUUGAUUUUUGCGGUGGGGAAUGGUAAUAAUAUUAGAUUUUGAGAUGAUUGUUGGUGUGGAGAUCAACCGCCAAAAUUGGGGUUUCCUUGCAUCACAUUGCCCUUGGGCCUUCUGCUACGGUGAAUUAUGUAUUAAGACAUUCACAAUAGGAGUUAUAGUUGGAAUAUUACUUGGUUUACAAGAUUGAGAAUUUGAUGAUUAUGUGCUGUUCUCCUUACAUGAAGUGGAAAUUCGAGUAGGAGGGUGAUCAUAGCAAGUGGAGGUUGGCACAUGAUGAUAUUUUUUCAGUUUGCACUUAUUUUAGAUCCCUUUUGGGACCUGUUUGAGAGUUCAUUCCCCUGGUAAAAGGUUUGGCAAUGUAAAUUGUCUCAAUGGGUGGCAAUUUAAACAACUUGUUCAUUCAUUGUGAUAGUGUUCGUUGGUUGUGGAAUAGUAUUCUAGCGUCUCAAUAUAUAGAUUGAGUGUUGCCUAGGCGCAUAGAAGAUGUGUUGCAUGCAUGGAGGAGAAAAUUUCGUGAUAAGGAUAGCAAGUUUGUAAGGGAUCUUAUCCCGCAAUGCAUUGUAUGGUGUGUGCGGAGAGAAAGGAACAGUCGCUAUUUAGAAGAUCAAACAUGGACGACAGAGCAAAUCAAAGGAUUGUAUUAUCUGACUUUGUAUACUUGGUUUAAUGCCGCAACUUCUAAUCUUAUAGAAGGACUACCUAAUUUCUUACUGUUUCUUUCUUGUUUAAAUUGAUAAUGCACUUCCUGUGUAUCUUCUUUUGAUUAAUAAAAUUACCUGAUUACCUAUAAAAAAAAGUGUUAUGAACUAUGUGUCUAAUUAAGGAAUAAACAUGAUGUAUGGUAGGAAUAUAAAGUCUUGAAUUAUUUUCUUGUUAGAGAGGAUUAUUUCCUUUUGAGAAAUAACCUCUUCAUGUAUAUAUAUUUGGUGAAUAGUUCCAAAUCAAUUAACAUGGUAUCAGAGCUAGGUUCUCAAAAUUAGGGCUUGCGAGUUUAAGAAAAUUUGUGGAAUUGUUCUCGGUGGUGGCUUUUUUCUGAGUCGGUGCUUUCUGUGUUGGAUCGACACUUAUCGGAGGUAAUUGUUGGUGGUUGAAGAUCAGGAGAGCCUUCUGUAGCAGCGGAAAUUGGGUUGCAUCGACUGUUCAUUGUCUUUUUGUGAUUUUGACUCUGUUUCUUUCCGGCUCCACGACAGACAACCCUGUUGACGUUGCGUGUAGCGGGUGUUGGGUGAGAGAUCGUCGUUUUCUCUUGACUUCUCUGGCUUUAUCGUUUCCUCUUCUCCUUUCGGUGGGUGAGUCGUCGUGUGCAGCAAUCUUCUGUGGCACCUACUAUAAACCAUCACUUAUCGUCUCCAUCUGCUGCUUCACCUCAGGAUUCGUCACCCUCUCUUGAUCCCAGUCUUGAUCUUCCCAUUACCCUUCAAAAAGGUAAACGAUCACGUACUUAUCCUGUUUCUUCUUUUGUUUCUUACCAUGUAUUGUCACAGUCUUCCAAGUCCUGUAUUGCCUCUUUAGAGUGCGUGUCAUUACCAUAAUCUAUGGUUGAGGCUUUGUCCCAUAGUGGCUGGCGAGCGGCCAUGCAGGAAGAAAUGAUGGCCCUGGAACAUAAUCAUACCUGAGAGUUGGUUCAUUUACCCCUUAAUAAAAAGGCAAUCGGAUGUAAAUGAGUGUUUACAGUCAAGAUGAACCCUGAUGGAUCUGUUGCUCGAUUGAAGGCUCGUUUGGUUGCUAAGAGGUAUGCUCAGACUUAUGGUGUGGACUACUCUGAGACUUUCUCUCCAAUUGCUAAGCUGGCUUCUGUUCGGUUAUUCAUUUCUCUUGCUGCUACUUUUCAUUGGCCACUUCACCAACUAGAUGUUAAAAAUGCAUUCCUUCAUGGUGAUUUACAAGAAGAAGUUUACAUAGAGCAACCACCCGGGUUUGUUGCUCAGGGGGAGUCCAGUAAGGUCUGCAAACUGUGAAAGUCAUUGUAUGGACUGAAACAAUCACCACGUGCUUGGUUUAGGAGAUUUAGUGAGGUGGUUAUUGAAGUUGGCUUGCAAAGAAGUGUAUAUGAUCAUUCAGUAUUCUUUAGACAGUCUAUAGUUGGGUGUAUUUUGUUAGUGGUAUAUGUUGAUGAUAUUGUGAUUACUGGGAGUGAUAGUAGUGGCAUAAGUAUGUUGAAAGCUUUCCUAGGCACAAGUUUCAGACAAAAGAGUUAGGUCCCUUAAAAUAUUUCUUAGGAAUAGAGGUCUCUCGAAGUGGUAAAGGAAUUUGUUUGUCUCAAAGAAAAUAUGUUCUAGACCUACUAGAUGAGACAGGUUUAAUGGAAGUAAAACCAGUUGAUGCUCCCAUGAUAUCAAAUGUGAAACUUGGGCCUGAAGAUGGAGAUGUAUUUGUGGAUGCAGAGAAACACAAGAGAGUGGUGGGAAAAUUGAACUAUCUCACGAUUACUCGUCCAGAUAUUGCCUUUUCAGUUAGUGUUAUUAGUCAAUUUAUGUCAUCUCCCAGAACUUCAUAUUGGGAUGCUGUAAUUCUUAUAUUGAAAUAGUUUAAAGGAGCUCCAAGGCAUGGAAUUCUUUAUAGAGACCAUGGUCAUUGUAGAGUUGAGGGUUUUUCAGAUGCAGACUGGGCAGAUUAUCCUGUUGAUAGGCGUUUUACUACAGGGUAUUGUGUAUUCGUUGGAGGUAAUCUGGUCUCUUGGAAGAGUAAGAAAUAAAGUGUUGUAGCUCGAUCAAGUGCAGAAUCUGAAUACCGAGCUAUGGCACAGGUAACUUGUGAACUUAUGUGGCUACAUUACUUACUUGGGGAGAUUGGCAUCGAUAAGUCCUACUCUAUGAACUUGUGGUGUGAUAAUCAAGCUGCUAUUCUCAUUGCUACAAAUCCGGUAUUUCAUGAGAGAACAAAGCACAUAGAGGCAGUCUGCCAUUUUGUUUGUGAAAAGGUUAUAGCAAAUUUCGACCAAGCAUGUUAGGGUAGGAGAUCAAUUAGUCGAUAUGUUUACUAAAGCGUUAACUGAGACUCGAGUAAACUAUAUUUGUAACAAGUUGGGCAUGAUUGAUAUUUAUACUCCAGCUUGAGGGGGGGUGUUAUGAAUUUUGUGUCUAAUUUAGGAAUAAAUGUGAUGUAUGAUAGGAAUAGAAAGUCUAGAACUAUUUCUUUGUUACAAAGGAUUAUUUCCUUUUGAGAAAUAACCUCUUCAUGUAUAUAUAUUUGGUGAAUAGUAAUGAGAAACGAAGGUUUUUUCCAAAUCAAUUAACAAAAAGUAAAAUGUCCAAACAUGAUUGGAAACAAAGAGUUCAGAAACAUGUUAUUUUCUUCAGUAAAUACCGACAUCUAUCAAAUAUCACUUACUCUUUGGAGAUGUCAUUUCUUCUGUGGGGGAAGAGGAAUUGAGGGUUGUGCUGUUUGUUCAGAACCUUCGAUGGUUAUGUAAGGUUCUUGAUAAGGGAGGCUACAUAGUUGAGAGGAAUUAGUACCUUUGGAUCCUCAAAGCUUGAUGAUUCAAUGAGCCCUGGGAUUGGCUCAGUUUCAAUGCUUUGAGUGUAUAGGAUAUGACAGGAAAAAUCAAAAGAUUUUGGAUAGUGAAGUACCCUAGGGGGUCAGUUGUGAAUGAACUAGGAGGAUGCUAACGGAAGUCAAGCAGCACGAGUAGGGUUUGAUUCCGCGGUGGAUGGUAUGGUCAUAGUGAACUGAGGAAAGGAUGGAUUCUGAAAAGUUUUACUAGCUGGGCUUGUAAAUAGCAGGGAGCUUAACUGGAAAAAAUGUUCAGUAAUUCAGUGCUGGAAUUCAUGAAAGAAUGUGGAGAGAAGGGGAACGUUUCUGGUUUGAUGUAGAGAAGUAGAUUGGAAGAAUUCAGUAGUUUCAAACUGACAUAGAUCAAAUCAGAUGUCUUCAUCAACCAUGGGAAGUACAGCUCUUGCAGCAUAGUAAUAUUGAAGAAUAAAAUUCUGGGGCAAUGCCUGGUCUUAUCCCAAGCAAUCAUGGAUCAAAGGUGUCAAAUGAACUUCGACUUGAGUUUGUGAGGACCUGCCUAAAUUAUCUGCCUAACCACUUGAUGAAAAAGUUUAAGUUGUUAGAGAUGGUCACAUAUAUAUCAUUUAAAUAUUUUCUUCAAUGCGCCCUCUCAGGUGCUGGCGGGAUUUAUUUUUUUCAUCAAAGCCUAACACGUGCACAAUCUCACUAAAUGCAUGGUGGCUAGACUUGAAAUUAGGACCUGUACUUUGAUAUUAUACCAUGGGGAACCAUUUGAUUUAAAAGCUUAAACUGUUGAAGAGGGCCAUGUGAAUAUCAUUUAAAUCUUGUUUUGAACAUAACCUAAUAGCAAUCUGACCAUAAAUUGAUACAAUUUAGACACGUGCCACGAGAAUAACCAAAUGUCAACAAGUAUGGGAAUUACUGAAAUGCCUUAGACUAAGCAAAGAACUAACAUCUUAGACAAUGCCAAGACACGAUAUGCCACAGUGAAUGCUUCUAGAUGGACUUAGGAGGAUUAUUAUUCUGCAGGAGUAACUGUUAAUUGUGAUGGAUAGACAGCUGAUUUUUUAGGUUUCUGGUAGACCACUGAAUCAUUAGAUUCUGUAAAUUUGUAAUUGUUCUUCACCAACUUUGAUGCUUCAUUAAUAAGGUUAUUCUUUCCUUUGUGAACAAUGAGGAUUACUAAUUUUAUGUCUUGGGAUCUUCCACAAUGAUAUAACUUACUUAUGAACUCUCUCAGCAUUUAAACCAUAAGAUUUCUUCUUUUCCUUUUUAUAUGUUUACUUAAUCUGACUUCUUUCAAUUUCGUUUCAUGAUUAUUGUGGCCUUUUAUUCUGCAUAUUGGAUAGAUGAUGAAUGCUGCUCCUGAAUAAUCUUGACAGUAAUAAGUAGGUUAUCUGACUGGCUUGUGUGCAUGCAAAGUAACAAGGGUAAUUUUGGUGAGCAGUGAUAUGCACUUCAAAAGUCUGUUGGUUUUUGAGUUUUUGGUCUAGAGCUUUAUGAUUCUGGAGAAGUUCCUUCGGGCAUUUUUAUAUUGCAAUGGUUCUAGGAGUAUUUUUGUAUGGGGAGACAGGUUGGACACGCAUAGUUAGGGAUUGAUGAUGCUAUUUACAGUUGAUGUUUUCAGUCUUCACUUUGUACAAUUGUUAAGGAUUUAUGGUUUUAGAUAUGUUGGAUUUUAUGCGCAAUAUUAAAGAGAUGAAAAAGAUAAUCAACACAAGAAUUUACGUGGUUCGGCGGUGUGCCUACGUCCACAAGAGCGAAGCGAAGAUUUCUUUAUUCAGUAGUGAAAAAUAGGGUUACAACAUAUUAUUUAUUCCGUUCCGUUAGAUGCGCUCAGCUCCUCUCACUCCACUCCGCUCCGCGCCGGCAUCGGCCCAUUUGAUCCAAUAUCUGUGUUCCACUCUAUAUGAACUACAUGCACAACAAGAUACUAGUAUGGUGGGUAAGAUCAAUUUAUAGCUCCUUAGAAUGAGAAUUCAAAGGUGAAAAUUGUGGAACCAAGUUGCCCUAUGCAAUGCCUCUAUCUUCUUUUGCUUGAUUUUUACCUCCAACCUUUCACUAAUAAGCAAGAAUUAUCCUUUGGACGAUUUCAAUUCAUUCCAGAGAGGCUAUGCUGUAUACUAGAGUAAAGAGUAAAAAAGAAACCUCAAUUUACUUUUAGAUAGUUCCUUCUGGCCUCAAAGUAAAACACUCUCUAAGAUUUCGUACUCAGGCAAGUUUGUUGGUCUGUGUGAAAACCAGCAUGCAGUUCAAUGAUUACCAUUUUUCUUAGGGUUUAAAGUUAUUUUAAUACUUAGGUUCUUUUUGUUAGCCAUAUAUAAUUGCAUGUAUUUUGGGAUUUGAUUGUAAUUUAUAUUAGGUUAAUAGGCUAAUUAGUUCUUACCAUAGUUAGAAAACUUACCAUAAUUGUUGUAAAUCUUAUCUUUAUAAGAGAGGUACUCCCUCGAUGGAAGGGAUAAUUUUUGAACAAUUCAAACCAUUUUAACAUGGUAUCAAAGCCCUCCCUUUAGAAUUUCCCUUCGAGUCUCGAUUUACUUUUGGUGCGCUUCAAUUGAGGAAUUUUUCUUGGGGUGUCGGCAAUUUUUUGUUCAUGAAAUUUCUCUGGAGCAAGCUUCUUGGUCAGCAAAAUCGGCAAUUGGAGUUGUCUUCUUGGUCGAUAGAUCCCACUAUUGGAUUUUCUUGGUGGUGGCUUGUUGAUUUGUGAUUGUGCAGGGAAUUUUUUUAGCUUUCCUCUUCUCGGGCUCCACAUGGUAUAUCUUCUGUGUCAAAUAAAUUCUGCCGACGAUUGCGUCUCGGGUUCUCGCCGUUCGCUGUUCGAAUUUUGUUUGACAGAUUCUUGGAUUGCGUCUUCGCAUAGGGCGUCGUCUACAGGAAGUCGUCGUUUUUUCUCUACUGGACACAGACAGACGAGUGAGCAGGUAAUCUUUUGGGUUUCAGAAUUCGGGCUGUGCAUAUUGGGCUUGGGCUUGAAUCCUUUUAAUAUCAUUUUGGAUUUAUCUCUUAAAAUUUAGACCGUUAAUCUUGGAUUUGUUUUGGACAUUUUCUUCGGAUUGGGCUUGAGAUUAUUUAGUUGGACUUGAUAUUUUAUUGGACUUGUAUCUUUGCAUUUCUUCAUGUCUGGAGAAAAUUCAAUUAUUCGUUUUAAUGGAAAAAAUUACUCGAGUUGGGAAUUUCAGUUCCGGAUGUUUGUGAAAGGGAAAGAAUUAUAGGGUCAUUUGGACGGCUCUUCUAAGGCUCCGACCGAUAUCAGAGAACUUAGCUCAUGGGAAAGUAAGGACGCCAAGAAUAAGUUCUGUUGAACCACACAUGGUCAACAAUCUUCGUUCGUUCACUACUGCUAAAGAAAUGUGGGAUUAUCUCAGGCGUGUUUACUAUCAAGAUAACUCUGCCCAGAAGUUCCAAUUGGAGUUAGAAAUUGCUAACUAUAAAUAGGGUAAUCUCUCUAUUGACCAAUUUUAUGCUGGAUUUCUUAAUUUAUGGAGUGAAUAUUCUGGAAUAGUUUAUUCCAAAAUUCCCAAGGAAGCUUUAGCUGCUCUUCAAGUUAUCCAUGCUGAAAGUCAAAGAGAUCAAUUUUUUACGAAGUUGAGACCUGAACUUGAGACUGCAGGGCCUGGCUUACUGAACCGUACUCCUGUUCCCUCUUUGGACGUAUGUUUGGGAGAACUAUUAUGUGAAGAAGAAUGUCUUGCCACUCAACUCGGCAUAACCGAAGAAUCAAUGACUACUGAGAUGGUUAAUGUGGCGUACGCUGCUCAAGGAAAAGGAAAAAUGAAGACCCAGAUACAAUGCUACAGUUGCAAGGAGUUUGGGCAUAUUGCGAAGAACUGCAAUAAGAAAUUCUGUAAUUAUUGCAAAAAGGAUGGACACAUCAUUAAAGAUUGUCGCUUACGACCUCAGAAUAGGCAAGGCUCAACUUUUCACAACGCAAUCCAGUCUAACUCAGCUGUUUUGUCCUUUGCUUCCACUCCUACUGUUUCUUCGUCUACUCUUACACCUGAAAUUGUUCAAUAGAUGAUUGUUUCUGCUUUUUCUGCUCUUGGUCAUCAAGGUAAGAAAAAUCUACUUGUCUCUCCUUGGUUGGUCGAUUCUGCAGCCUCAAAUCAUAUGACAAGUAAUACAGAGGCUCUGAUUAAUAUUCGUAAGUAUAAAGGUGAUCAACAUAUUCAAACUGCCAAUGGGAGUACUCUUCCUAUUACAGCAAUUGGAAAUUUGGGAUCUUCUUUCACUAAUGUAUUUGUGUCACCAGAAUUAUCUACGAAUUUAAUUUCUGUUGGACAAUUGGUUGAUGAUAAUUGUGAAAUCCGUUUUAAUCAGAAUGGUGGUUGUGUGCAGGAUCAAGCGUCGGGGAAAGUGAUCGCGAAGGGCCUAAAGUGGGACGUUUAUUUCCUCUUCAAUUUUCCAUUUCUGAUUCAUUUGCUUGUACUGCUAUUAUUAAUAGUAAUGUUUGGCAUAAGAAAUUGGGACAUCCUAAUUCUAAUGUUUUGAUUCAUCUCUUAAAGAAUGGUUAUUUGGGCAAUAAAAAUUCAUCUUCUCAUGUGUCUUCUGAUUGCAAUUCUUGUAAACUUGGUAAAAGCAAAUCCUUACCUUUUCCUUCACAUGGUAGUCGUGCUUCCACAUGUUUUGAGAUUAUCGUAAGUCCCGUACUUUCGCAUGCUCAAUAUAAGUAUUUCGUAAUAUUUAUUGAUGAUUAUAGUCAUUUCACUUAGGUCUAUUUCCUUCGAGCUAAAACUGAUGUGUUCUCCAUCUUUCAAAACUUUGUUGCUUUUGUUGAGACCCAAUUUUCUACUAGCAUUAAGAUACUUCGUUGUGACUCUGGAGGGGGAAUACAUGUCCAACAAUUUCCAAGAAUAUCUAAAAACAAAAAGGGAUUCUCUCCCAACGAUCUUGACCUUACACUCCCCAAUAGAACGGGGUUGCGGAGCGUAAAAAAUGUCACUUUUAAGAUGUUGUUCGUACUUUAUUAAUUAAAUCUUCAGUACCCUCUAGAUUUUGGGUCGAAACUUUAUCGACAGAUGUCUAUUUGAUUAAUCGUCUUCCCUCUCCAAAUUUACAAUUUGACUCUCCGUAUUCUCGAUUAUUUAAUGUAGCACCUGAGUAUGAUUCACUUCAUAUAUUUGUCUAUGUUUGUUUUAUCCACUUACCUUCUACUGAAUAUCACAAACUUACAGCUCAGGCUGCUCGAUGUGCAUUCCUCGGGUAUAGUAAUGCACACAAAGGGUAUGUGUGUUAUGAUGUGGAUGCUAACAAAAUUCGUAUCUCUCGAAAUGUGGUUUUCUUUAACAACGAAUAUUUCUUCCAGUCUCGUGUUGUUCAUGAUUCUGCCUCUAUUUAGCUUCCUACGUUUGAUGAUAUAUCUUGUAAUGUUGAGCGCUUUAAGGCGGGAUUUGUAUACUAGAGAAGUCCCCUCCUGCCACCUUCGGACACUGAACCGUCGCCUGAUCCCAUCAUCCCUGAACCUCGAUGAUCUUCUUGGGUCUCACGCCCUCCAGAUAAGUAUGGUUUCUCGCAUAUUGCUAAUCAAGCUACCCUUGAUACUACUUCUGUGCCCAAAUUUUACUCUCAAGCUUCUAUUCAUGCAUUUUGGUGGAAAGCUAUGCAGGAAGAACUUCAGGCACUUUAGGAUAAUCAUACUUGGGAUAUUGUUCCAUAUCCUGAUGGGGUAAAACUUCUUGGAUGCAAAUGGGUAUAUACGAUUAAACUUCGGCCUGAUGGUACUAUAGAGAGAGAUAAAGCCCGAUUGGUGGCUCUUGGGAACUAUAAGGUGUAUGGUCUUGAUUAUGAGGAGACCUUCGCCCCUGUCGCAAAGAUGACUACUGUGAGGACUAUUAUGGCUAUAGCCGCUUCUAGAGAAUGGUCUCUCAAGCAGAUGGAUGUGAAAAAUGCAUUCUUACAUGGUGAUUUGAAGGAGGAAGUAUAUAUGAGUCCUCCUCCUGGUAUGUUCUCUCACUCUUCUACUGAGGUUUGUCGGUUGAGGCACUCUUUAUAUAGAUUGAAACGGGCACCAUGCGCUUGGUUUGAGAAGUUCCGUACCACUUUACUUGAUUUUCAUUUCACUCAAAGUCAGUCUGAUUCCUCCCUAUUUCUUAAACGCACUAUUGAUGGACUUGUUGUGCUUUUGGUAUAUGUGGAUGAUAUUGUGAUCACAGGAUCUGACACUCAGUCGAUUGUGCAACUUCAGCAGCAUCUUAACACCACCUUUCAUAUGAAAGAUCUUAGUUCUCUACAGUAUUUUCUCGGUUUUCAGGUGCAUUCCUAUCCUCAUGGUCUACUUAUACAUCAACACAAGUAUACCCAAGAGAUUCUCACCUCAGCUGGCCUUCAAUCUGGGAAUUCCGUGCUUACUCCACUAGAAGUUAAUUUCAAGCUCAGCCAAGAUGGAGGAGAACUCUUACCUGAUCCAUCCUUAUACCGACAGCUUGUAUGAAGUUUGAACUAUUUGACAAUUACUCGACCCGAUAUUUCUUUUGCUGUACAACAAGUCAGUCAGUUUAUGCAGGCUCCACGACAACCUCAUUUAGCAACCGUACGAAGAAUUCUUAGUUACCUCAAGGGUACAUCUGGUCGAGGGUUGUUUUUCCCUAUAGGGAAUUCUUUGCAAUUAAAGGGUUAUAGUGACGCUGAUUGGGUUGGUUGUGUGGACACUCGACGUUCAGUUACUGGUUGGUGCAUGUUUCUUGGUGAUGCACUUAUAUCUUGGAAGAGUAAGAAGCAGGAUCGUGUCUCGAAGUCCUCUACUGAGUAUCGUGCUAUGUCAUCCGCCUGCUCAGAAAUUGUGUGGCUUCGGGGUUUGUUAGGAGAACUUGGAAUCCCUUAGCUUGCUUCUACUCCGCUUUAUGCUCAUAACACCAGUGCUAUUCAGAUUGCCGCAAAUCUUGUAUUUCAUGAACGCACCAAGUAUAUUGAAGUAGAUUGCCAUUCUAUCCGUGAAGCCCUUGAUCAACAUGUGAUUACACUUCUUCACAUCUCCACGGAACAUCAAACUACAGAUGUUUUUACCAAGGCCCCUAUCUCGCCAAUGUCAUCAGUUCAUGAUUGACAAACUGAUGCUUUUUGAUCGACCAGUAUCAAUUUGAGGGGGGAUGUUAGCCAUAUAUAAUUGCAUGUAUUAUGGGAUUUUAUUGUAAUUUAUAUUAGGUUAAUAGGCUAAUUAGUUCUUACCAUAGUUAGAAAACUUACCAUAAUUGCUGUAAAUCUUAUCUUUAUAAUAGAGGUACUCCUCGAUGGAAGGGACAAUUUUUGAACAAUUCAAACCAUUUUAUCACUUGUUUCAAUCAAAAUGACUAGACAAUGUUCUAACUUUGUUGUUCACAGAUUUUUACAUCUCUAUUUGAUUCUAUUCAUUGGUCUGCAGUACAUUACAAACUAGCUCCAUUGGCAUCCUAGUUUCCUUGUAAUUGGAUGUGAAAUUUUUAAAUUAUUUUUUCCAGAGUUGUGGGGGUCCUAAUGCUCAUGGGAUGAAAAGUGCCAGUGGUAAAAUGGCAAAACAAGCUGCAUUGGCUUUUGUCAAGCGGACAUUGGAACGAUGUCGGGAAUUUGAUGUAACUGGAAAGAGCUGCUUUGGUGAGCCUUUGUAUAAAGAAAUUUUCCUUUCUGGAGUUGCACACCUCGGUGACAUACAAGCAGUGAAUUCAAGUGCUGAUAAUGAAUCUGGAAAGCAGCAGUUUAACACAUCUGGAUGUUCUAUUGAAGUUAGAACUUCAGGUUGGUCCCAUUGAUAGAUACCUGAAUGCUUAUCAACAUUUUAGUAUCUUUAAAUAAGUCUUACAUUUGCAGGUUUUCUGCAUUCUAAUUUAACUAGCACUACUUAGAAUAGAAACUAAUACAUAUCUCUGGCUAAAUCUGAUGGGACCAUCAGAUAUGUAUAUCCAUAAGCCCUGUGGAUGAGGUUUAUGUAUGAAACACGGUUCUCACGUUCUCAACCCUUGACAACAUGCAUUUGUGACUAAAUUUUUAUGAAAAUUAGCAUGAUAAGAUUUACUUUACUCUGAAGAUUGAAUGAUUUUCUUGCAAAAGAUUGUGGGCAAAAUAAAAUAAUGUGACAAAAACAUUUUUCCUGAUUAGUCUUUAAGACAUGCUUCUAGCUGUAAUGUGAAAUGUUUGAAGUUAAAAGGAUCCGAGUAGGUAGGUUAAUUUAGGCACAGUAUUGUAUACAUAGGGCAUUAAUGGUAUAAAAGACUUGUUUGACAAGCCUCUAGCUAUUUUUUCUUAUGUUAUGAUGGUACUUUUUUUGUCCAUUAUCUUAGUAUUGGAGGUGUUUUUUGUUUUGCAGCUCCCUUGGGAGCACAGCACAGCCCAUCUUCAAACAAUCAAGAAAUUUAUUCUUCUGGAGCUCCCAAAUCGGCAAAUCUAGGUUCUGAACAAACUACUGGCAAAGACAACAUCUGGUCGAAUAGGGCGAAGAAGUGCGAGUUACCGCCUGAUGAAACUGUUGGUGGUACACUUAGCUCAUCCACCAAUGUCUCAUCAGGCAUUGGAAGUUCUAUUUUGAGCAGCGCAAAAGGGAAAAGGAGUGAGAGAGAAGGAAAGGGAAAUAGCAGAGAGGCGCUAUCCAGAAGUGGAAGCACUAAAGUUGUUCGGGCUGCACUGGCCAAUGUCAAGGGAGAGAGAAAGCCUAAAGCAAAACCUAGACAGAAAACAGGUCAACUCACUGCUUCUGUCAAUGGCCCUCUUGGAAAGAUGUCUGAGCGGCGAAAAACAACAUUGCUUUCUGCACCCAUAUCAAAUGAGAGGAGUGGAAGUGGCACUGACAAUGAUAAAAAUGACGAUAAUGUAGACCUCUUGGAGGAACCCAUAGAUUUGUCUGGCUUGCAACUUCCUGGAAUGGGCGAUCUAGCUGUACAUGAUGAUCUUGCUGGUCAAGGAGAGGAUCUAGGGUCUUGGUUGAACAACAUUGAGGACGAUGUAUUGCAAGAUCAUGACUAUAUGGGUGGGCUUGAAAUUCCUAUGGAUGAUCUAGCAGACUUGAAUAUGAUGGUUUGACCUUUCAAUCUUUGUAUAUUCCUGUCUAUUAUACAAUCACAGGUGAAAAAUCGUUGUUCGUGGAAGACCAGUUACAAGGAUGUCAUGUGACUCAGUCCUGGCUGUGAGUGGGCCAUAUAUUCUUUUGGUUACUCCCUACACAAGUUGAGGUUUGAGUGAACCUCUGAGACGCUUGAAUGUUUUUCCUGUUCAAGUUGACACCUUGACUGUAAAGAUCAUUUUGUUUGACGUUAGUAUCUUAAUGAUAAGGUCUUAGAAAACCUAUAUUUUGGUUGUAGCAAUUACAUAUCAGAGAGCAAUGUCUUUGUACAUAAAAUUUAUAUUUUCAAUAAGUUACCAUUUUGUUUAUUUUGCAAUAUGGAGUAGGUGUUGUGAGAUGUUUUGACUUGUGUGUAUUAUGAGCUUCUAUUUCAGAUUUGAUUAAGUUGAUAACCUUAAAAGGUCGACUCCUUAUCUAUUGAAGUUACAGUUGCCCUAACUAUUUUGAGUGUGUAUGAUGCAGAAAGCCCUCAUUGUUCCCAUUGACAUCUGAGAUUCCUCGUUGAAUACGAAGGUAUUAACAGUGUAAGCUAAGAGGUGGUGCAUGUGCCGGAUUAUGGUCAAGUGGAUGAACUGUUUUAUUGGGGAUGCAAUCUACUGCAGACCAUAUAUCCUAUUUAAUCCCCAGGUUGACUUCCUUCAAAGUAUGCAUAAUUAACAUCCAGGACUUUCUCCGUGAUUGUUUAGUUAAAUGCUACUUAUAACUGGAGAGGAGCUACAAACUUGACUCCAGUAUAUAUAGGGUUUGCCAAUAUGUUGGUUAUCAAUUACUGAAUUGUAUGCUGUUGUGCUACUAAUGCAGCAUUUGUGAAGAAGUUCCGAGGCUUAUUUAAGAACUAGCUGCUUUUGAUUUUCCAAAAGUCACGUGCUCUUCACUAAUUUCCUCAUAUUGUCAUAGGAUAAUUAUAUAUUAUUCAUUUUAUUUCAUUUUUGUAUUAUAAAGUUUGUUUCAUUGACUAUGCAUCACUUAGUAUUGCAUAAUAUGUCCUCGAGAAAUUUCCUCUAAAUCAAGGAAAUAUUAUGAUUAUCUUGCUCCAGGGGUGAGAGAUUAUGUGGCUGUCUUUAUUUUCGUUGGAGUUACCCUACAGACUCUUGGAGGCUGAAUGCAUUUCUUGACUACAGUUAUUUGAAAACAGCAUGCCUUGGCAGCAAGUAUUUGAUGGCCCAAUAUUUUGGACACACUUCCUGUGCCAUCUGUCUUGGGAAAAUUUAUUCCUGCUGCUGUUCGAAGCAGCCCAAAAUAUAUUCUGUCACAGAUUCUCACUCCAGAUAUGUGGUAAAUCAUUGUUUUUACCUGUUUGAUUUUGAAGAUUUAUUUAUCUGAAUUUUAGCAAUUAGUUUUGCUAAAUUACAGGGGUAACAUCCUUCUGAAUAUUGUGGGUUUCAAUUUUUCUGAAGGUGUUUUUUCCAAUAAAAAUAUUUUUAAACACUGCAGACUAUUACAUGAAUACAAAACUUCUGUGCCAAUGAUGCAGUCAAAGUAAGUCCACUUAUGAUGCCCUAUGUUGCCUGCUACUCACAGUAAAUAUUUUUGUAUGAGGAUGUGGAGAAGUGAAUCCUUUUGUUCUGGUAUGUGGAUUUUUAUUAUUUAUAUCUGUCCAUCACACUUCACAAGUAGGAACAGUAUUCCUACCAAAUGAUAAAAGUUACAAAUCUCUGAGUCUCACAGCUUAAUGUUUAUUUCAUUCAGACAGGAACUCCUCUCCAAGUGGCAGCACUUGUACAAUUGAUUGUGCAGAAUAUGCUACCAGAAAUUACCUCUUCAUGUAAGGUAUUCGUAGUCAAUUUGUUUGAAGCAUUUUACUAAGUUCUUAUGUCAUUUUCAAAUAUCUAAACCUUUCACUGAUAGUACAAGCUAAAGAAUUAAAAAUCUGAAAAUAAAUCUAUCACAUUCGAAAAAUGUUGUGCUAAUAAAAAGGUCAGCGUUAAACAAAAUGUGGACGAAAUGAAAAUGCUUAUAUGAUUGUUGAUACUGCAAUGGAGGAUAAUAUGGAAGAGCCGUAUGAUUUCAGAACUUGUUCAGAUGUGAUGUAAUGCUAUCUGUAAAGUUGUGUGCAAGGCUUUAUUAGAUGUUUUAUUUUUAUUUAAUUGUUUUAUUUUUACUAAUUAAGGUCUAAUUUAUAUUUUUAAUUAUCUAGGGUUGAAUUUAUAUUUCAUUAGGAGUUUAGGAAGUAUGAAUGCAAUUUUAAUUAGGUUUGCUCUAGGUAUUAGAGCCACAACUGUAUUUCAGGGACAUUUUGAUUGAUUGACAAAUUAUAUUAAUAUAAAUGUGAGUUUUUUCUUCAAUACUGAACCAAAUCAAGGUUUUCGCUUGUUAUUGUUCUUGCUCACUUCUAUCUGCAUCAAGAUGGCCUGCACCAAUUUGUAGAAUAUCACUUGAUACAUUAGGUUAUCCCAGGGAAACAAAUUAUUCCAGAAAUUUGGCAAAAAGUGACAACAUUGAGUAUUUACAAGUGAAGUUUGGCCAAGGAGUGCACCAAGAGAUAACAUUUGACAGAAUAAAUAAGACAAAUUGCAUCCUCUAUCCCCAAACUAUACCCCAUUUGCAGUUUUAUCCCCAACAAUUUUUCUUGGCACUGAGCACCUCAACUUUGUUUCCAUCCAAAAUGGUUGUUAAGUUGGCAACGAAAGGCAUUCACACUUAAAACUCAAAUAAACAAAAAAAUAAAUACAAGGAAGGAAGGAGGAAGAAGAAAAGAGAAAAAAAAAAAAAAAAAAAGAAGAAGAAGAAGAAAAAAAGGAAAACAAACACCUUCUUUCUCAAUCCUCUGCAGCACCCACCGCCACCAAUGCUACCUCUUCGCGUGCAAAUGUGAGUAUAGGGUGGGGCUGCGAGUGUAAUUAAUGUGGAAAAAAAUUAGAAAAAGGCAAGAGCUUGUUUUGUAGGUAAAAUGUGGAUGAAUAACAAAAUCAUAAUAUAUUGACAAUCAGUUGCAGUAAACCUCUGUUACCUUGGUUUAUCUGAGUUGCGCAACCAUUGUCGUCUAUAUAGUCCUUUUGAGAACAAUUGUUCAAUAACUUAUAUUCCUGGCAUUCAUGUAGAAGGAACUGCAGAUAUGCACCUUGGAAAGCAAAAUACUUCUAGCAAUCACUAUCUUGAUAUUGUCAAAGCCAUGCUCUUGGUGAUCUGUUUGGGGCUUUCAAUAUAUAUGCUGGGCUUUUUGACUGAAAACUGGGAUGGAUCGUGGUCAUGAGUACUUUACUUUGUUAGCAUUAUGGGAAUAUGAAGGCGGAUGGUUUCCUCGUGCUGCAUUAUUAUUGCAAGUUUAAUGAAAGGGUUUGUUGGGUGCAGUUACCCCCACUGGAGUUUGAGGGAAGGUCUUUGAGAUGGAAAAGAAAUAGUGAGAUGUCAUGUAAAUUGUAAUUCUGACGAAUCAAUGUGAAAAAACUUGUUCUUUUUGUUACGUAUUGUCAUAAUUAGCCAACCUACUUGGGCCUAUGGCCCACUCAAUCCGAACCAUGUGGCGCUCUAACCGAGGUGGCACGUAUGGCCGAGGCCCUUCAUGUCGAGACCCAUAUACCGAGGCCUGUGAAAGUAGCCGAAGCCCUAAAGCGGAAGUAUUACAUAUGGCAGAAGCCCUGAAUCCAAAGCCGAAGCAGAAGCCUCCGAACCGUGAAGGAAUGUCUUCCAUGAUUACUUCUCCCAAGAGAUCUUCUACAUAAAGAUCUUACUUGAAUGAUUGAUGAAACGUUUGUCAUAAGUGUACAUGUCAAGUUUUUUCAUUAGCAUGGGGGUUCUGCAUAAGCAAUAAAUGCGCAGCAAGCUAGCAAGUCAAGGAUGAUGCCUAGGAUUGGAUGUUUGGAUUAAAGAGAUGAGGCCGCGUGCCACCUCAUCCAAGGACUGUCAUGUACCACUAUAAAUACUUCCCUUGUGUAACAUUAAAGGGCUAAUGCAAGAAUCAAUACAAGAAACCAUACUUUACUCUCUUUCAAAUUAUCUUGCAACACAAUACAAGUUAAUACAUAUUUACAUGCACAUUCAUGAGCACUUAUUGGUAAUUAUUGUACAAUCGGAUUACGAACAUCCCAUCGGAUUCCGAACGUUCUCG